UGGACUCCAAAUGCAACGUUUGAUGUGUUCCAAACCGUGUGAUGUCCACAUCACUGAACUGGGCCACAUUUUACAAAACCUCAGACUGCCAAGAUCCCCAUUUAUGCAAAACCUGAGUUUGCUUUUUAGUGCUUAGCAGCGCAACAAGGCUUUUCUUUCGCUUCCGCGAGCCGAGUCUGUCUGGCUAAUGCUGGAGGAGCGUUUGGGAGCCAAGGGUCCCGCAGUCACUGCUGACUUCAAAGCUGUAACCUGAGUCUCUCUGCAACUCCACAAUAAAUCAAAUAAUCCAUUCAGUGGGUGUUCAGGAGGGGACUGAGACGGGCCAAAUGCAAAGACUGAGAAAACAAGCAAGUGCAGUAGGGGAGAGAAAGAAACAGACAAACUGCAAAGAGAAAAAGAGAAGGACAACAAAAGCUAAAGGAAGAUCAGAACAAACUGAGGAAAUACCGGAGAAACAUAUAAUUUGAUAACUGCAAUUAAAUAAAGAUCAACAAGUCCAAAUGCUAUGGGUCAUCAUCAAAGACCAAUAUCCUAAGGGUUCAUGCCACAAAAGCUGGAGGCUGUAAGAGGUUAAGAAAGGACAUCUCAGCGAGGGGGAGAGUGUCCUGCUGAGCCUGCUGAAGAAUGCAAGAGGUCACCGUAGCCACCAGAUCCAGUCUGUAUCCAGAUCAGAGGGUCACUGCAGUCACCCGGAUCCAGUACGUAUCCAGACCAGAUGGUGGAUCAGCACCUAGAGAGGACCUCUACAGCCCUAAAUGUCAGUGGAGACCAGGACAACUAGAUGAGCUCCACAUACAGAUCCCCUGUAAAGACCUUGUCUCAGACGACCACCGGGACAAGACCACAGGAACAGAUGAUUCUUCUGCACAAUGUCACAUUGCUGCAGCCUGGAAUUGAACUGCUGGUUUUGUCUGGCCAGAGGAGAACUGGCCCCCCGACUGAGCCUGGUUUCUCCCAAGGUUUUUUCUCCAUUCUGUUACCGAUGGAGUUUUGGCUUCUUGCCGCUCUCGCCUCUGGCUUGCUUAGUUGAGGACACUUUAUUUACAGCGAUAUCGCUGACUUGAUUGCAAAUAAUUGCAAAGAUACUAUUUAAACUGAACUGAGCUGCAUGAUGUCAUCACUGAAUUCAAUGAUGAAUUGCCUUUAACUGACAUUUUGCAUUAUUGACACACUGUUUUCCUAAUUAAUGUUGUUCAGUUGCUUUGACA
Molecule: long non-coding RNA, 1208 nt
Organism: Cyprinus carpio carpio
Lineage: Eukaryota; Metazoa; Chordata; Actinopteri; Cypriniformes; Cyprinidae
Source: Ensembl